This 3180-nucleotide long non-coding RNA is filed under the name Pectinophora gossypiella (pink bollworm). RNAcentral describes it as "uncharacterized LOC126381416". The record is from RNAcentral. Lineage: Eukaryota; Metazoa; Arthropoda; Insecta; Lepidoptera; Gelechiidae.
GUAAGUUGUACGUAACAUAAACCAAAAUGCCUGCCGAUCAGGAUUGUGAGCAAUCAACUUCGAUCACCGCCUUGAAACAACGACUAAAAGACAAACGUGCGCUGGCUCUGGAAAAUUCCACUGCCGCCAUGCAAUUGACGAAGCCACCUCCUGCAAGUUCAGGUUUUAACCACCGCGGACGGGAGAACAAUGCCUCGGCUACUGCCUUGAAGGCGAUUGAAGACCCGGCGCCAGGAGUGAGCUGCUUGUUAUGUGCUGAGCACGCAACAUGAAACAUCAACGCUACAGCCUGCACUGCAUGUACCUACACCAGCCUCUGCAUCUACACCUUCACUUCUAGAAACAAAAUUUGGUUUCAUUGUAGCCGGUAACUUACCAAACAUCCCUGCUGCUUCAAAUCCGGUAACAUUAUUUUGCAAAACAUGUGAUCACAAUAUUCAUGACAGCGUCACCCAACUGUGGAAAACUGAAUCAGUUCCAGAAAUAUAUCCUGAAAAGCUUUCAGAACAUGAAACUUGUGAACAACAAUUUAAGGAAUCUGUAACACUUGAGAACAAUAAAUUCACAGUGGGACUGCCACUAAAGUUGCCACUUGACUCCGUUAACCAAAUGUUGGGUGACACUCUCAAUUUAGCUCUAAAAAGGUUUUAUAACUUAGAAAAAAGAUUGCAAAAAGACCCAGUUCUACUUGAUCUUUAUUCCAACUUUAUUCAUGAAUAUAUUGACCUGGGCCAUGCCACAAAAAUUGAUAUUAAUCAAUACAAUCUUGAUAGGGACCCUGUUUAUUUUCUGCCUCAUCAUCCUGUUGUACGUAUGGACAAAAAAACCACUAAAUGUAGAACAGUGUUUGAUGCUUCAAUGAAAGGUAGUAAAAAGAUAGCUUUAAAUGAUAUAUUAUUGAAUGGACCUGUCGUACAAAACGAACUUUUUGAUGUUUUAAUUUUGUCACGGCUUGAGAAAUACAUAUUCAUUACAGAUGUUAAACAUAUGUUCAGAGCUAUAGAGCUUGAUGAAAAAUACAGAUCUCUACAAAAUAUUCUUUGGAGAGACAUUCCAACAGAUAAUUUGGAUUGUUUACAGUUGAAUACCGUUACUUACGGUAUGAAAAGCUCUUCUUAUUUAGCAACUCGUUGUCUAAUGGAAUUAGCCGAAAAUUAUUACAAAGAUCAUCCACAAGCUGCAUUUAUUUUAAAAAAUCAGACUUAUGUAGACGAUGUAAUAGGAACUGCUUCAUCCAUAGAGUCAUUGAUAGAGUCAAAGGAACAGCUUUGUAGAAUCAUGGAUUUAGGAGGUUUUAAGUUACAUAAAUGGUCAUCUAAUUCUCCCGAAUUGUUACAAAAUAUACCAUUAGAAAAACAAUAUUUUGAUGAUAUUGAAUUGCAAAAAAAUGAUCUUUUAUUGAAAACAUUAGGAAUUAAAUUUAAUGUAAAGUCAGAUAAUCUUAUCCUUGCCUCUCCUGUUUCAGAAGGAAAUGUACCCCAAACAAAACGCGAAAUCCUGAGCUUCAUCAGCAAGUUUUUCGACCCAUUGGGCCUGGCUGGUCCAAUUGUUGUUUCAGCUAAGCUUUUUAUACAAAAUUUAUGGAAGUCGCGUGUUGAUUGGGAUACAAAGGUUGAAGGUGACCUAAAAAAGACUUGGUUUGAUUAUUAUGAUAGCUUAACUAAAAUGAAUCCUAUAAAUAUCAAUAGGUACAUAUGCUUAGACAUGUCAGUUUGCUUUCAAUUAAUUGGGUUUGCUGACGCAUCAAGCACAGUUGCUUAUGGGUGCUGCAUUUAUCUCAGAGUCAUUGAUGCCGCAGGGAAUGUUAAAGUUUCUUUGUUAUGCGCUAAAUCGAGAAUUAAUCCACUCAAUAACAACCUCACAACACCAAGAUUGGAAUUGAAUGCUGCUUUACUACUUUCCAAACUUUGUGCUAAGGUACACAAAACAUUAUCUUUAAAAUUUAAAAUAAAUAACGUAUUUUUAUAUUCUGACUCACAAAUCGUAUUAGCAUGGAUUGCUACUGACAUCAUAAAACUAAACACGUAUGUUGCUAACCGUGUAAAGGAAAUUACACAAAAUACACAAAGGUGCACUUGGUCUUACAUAAACACUACAGAUAACCCUGCAGAUUGCUUAAGUAGAGGUCUCCUCCCGCACGAGUUCGAGUCUCACCCGCUCUGGUGGAAAGGCCCUGGAUUUCUCCACACAAGUGAGUAUGAUUUGCCUUGUAAUGUUCCUGCAGUCAUGGAGGAUCUUCCAGAGUCGAAAAAGGAGCCAGCACAUACCUUGGUAUGUACCACCCAUGUACCUUUGAAUCUAAAUUUUUUAGACAAGUUCUCUAACCUACACAAAAUGCAGCGAGUACUAGCAUAUAUACUCCGAUUCUGUAAAAAUGCACGCACAAACUUGGACAGGGUUCAAUGUAACUAUCUCACUUCUAAGGAGCUAGAAAAGUCAUUAUUGUUAAUAGUAAAGUAUGAACAAGAAAGACAUAUGAAGGACUUAAUUCAUAAUGUUAGUAAUAACAAACCUCUCUCAGAGUGUAACCUACAAUCGUUGCAUCCGUUUGUUGAUGACAAUGGUAUGUUAAGAGUGGGUGGUCGACUUGAAAAAUCAAGCUUGCCAUAUUCGCAAAAGCAUCCACUUAUCCUGCCUAAAGGUUCCCGUCUUAUAGAACUAAUUAUUAGAAGCGAGCAUAUAAAAAAUUUACAUGCAGGACCUAGACUACUGUUGUCAUCAAUAAAUCAAAAGUUUUGGAUCGUAAAUGCACUGCGUGAAAUUAAAAAGGUUACCCAUAAGUGUGUAAUAUGUUGGAAACUUAAGAAAAAGGUUUCUGAGCAGUUAAUGGGCUCGUUGCCACACGACAGAAUAAAUGUAUGUCGUCCUUUUCAAAAAAUUGGAUUAGAUUUUUGUGGUCCCGUGUCAGUCAAACAAUCGACGAUGCGUAGGUCAAUAGUAGGUAGUGGGUACAUUUGCGUGUAUGUAUGCUUCACCACAAAGGCCGUACAUUUAGAGUUGUGUUCUGAUUUAAAAACACAAACAUUUUUAGCUUCAUUUAGGCGCUUUAUCUCACGUAGAGGACUUCCAACGGAUGUCUACUGCGACAAUGCUUCUAAUUUCAAAUGUGCUAACUCAGAGUUACAUAAAUUGUAUAAUUCCAAAGAACACCAAAAUCAGGUACAAGACUUUAGUAGUGAA